Pavo cristatus (Indian peafowl) is the source of this 2921-nucleotide long non-coding RNA. The record is from Ensembl. Lineage: Eukaryota; Metazoa; Chordata; Aves; Galliformes; Phasianidae.
GGCCGGGGUGGGGCGCUGCGCACCGUGCGGGGGGGGGGGGUCGCGGGACGUGCCCGGCGCCACGGCGCGCGUGGGCGGACACGGCUGCGGUGUCGGGAACGGCCUCCUGCGCCCUGACACGAGCACUGCGGCCCUCCCCGGUUAACGGGAGUUGGUUACGAAGAUGUCCGACGGGGGAGCCGGCAGGCGCUCGCUACGAGCACUCUGGACACAAGGACACACACUGCCUGUUAUACCACAACAAGAGAUGCGGAUAACAUCCUUUUGUGUAAAAAUCCAUCUUGGGAACAAUGAGACAGCAUCAUCUCCACAUCACACUGCUUUCCAUCCUGUGAUCAUUAAUUCAGGCACGAUCUGGAAACUGCUCUGCAGCCCAUCCCACAGCAUGCGGGGUCUCCUUGUUGUGUCCAGUGGGUCAGGAAGGAAGGAAAAAAGCCAUGGAGUUACAAGAAUUCCCAAAGGGCAGCAAGUACAAACAGACAUUGUAAAAACACGCAAACAAAAAUACUUCAUUAUUUUAAAUGCAAAAGGCAUUUUCUGUUGUCAGAUGCAAGCAAACUGCAUUGCUUUUACAAAGAGAGGCUGUUAGCAACAAACUAGCUGACCCAUGCUUAAAAGCAUUCCAGGGAUACUUACCCCCUUGGGAGACCAGAAAUACCAGAGAAGCCAUUUUCAUACAGCCUGACUGUUCCUACCAGCACCAGGCUUGAAUUAGGCUUAUGCUUGUCAGAGAAUACAGAAAGAGCCUAACUUUAUCUCAGAGGAACACAGAAACCUACCCUCCAGCUUUCAGGCUGACCUUGGCCAUUUAUUGGCCCCGUGCUUGGCAUGGUUUCUCAGAUAGUGACAAGAAUGUAAGUGAUAUCUGGGGUGGUAACAGGCAUGUGUGAAGGAAAUGGUUUGGCUGUGCAGAUUUCCAGGAACUUUAAGACAAGCCAAUUGGGCUCAAAUGACACUGAGAAACUAGAGUGCACCAAUGGCAACAGGAUGCACCUUUUUGUGCAAUAAACAGCCAUGAGGGUCACUUGCACUUUUCGCUCUAUAACCCCAGGCCAUGAGUCUGUUAUUAAAACCUAUUAAGAGCAUGCUUGUCAAUAAAAGCCCAUGAAAGAAUGCCUGCAUUCUAUGCUAGAAUAGUAAUUAAAAAAGUAGAAUUUUUUAAAGUGUUUUCUGUCCAUUAGCACAUUUUCAUCUGCUCUGACACUCAAGGUUUCUUCAUCUUCAUCCUCACUUGACCAAAGCAGCAUAAGCACCUCAGUCCCCAGAUGUCCACGGUCAGUUGCAGGCCCCUCUGCCUUCCAGAGGUGUGACCACCUCUGCAGCUCCUCCAGGCCCUGCCAAGGAAGGGAUUAGGGGAAUGCCAGUAGUGGGCCAUCGUGUGAUUGUUCUGACAUGGAGAUCCCAGUUGUUUUAAGCAUGCAACCCAUUGGUUCUCUCUCCUUUUCUGCACAUUCACCCACAUCUCAGACUCUUAUACGUUUAUAUAUAAACCCCUCCAUGCUACUAUUUCUGUUUUAUCCUUUCCCUCCCACCUUAUGCACCCAUUAGAAUUUUGAAAGCCUUUGAAUUCCAAAAGCAUAUGAAAAGUUGUUCAUCACUGUCUGGUCCCAUCUGCUUCUGCAUAUACAUACGGCAAGCAGAAAUUUCUUUAUGAAAUGUUCCUGCUGAGCAUUUCCACAGCUAUGUCCCAAACCACACACUAAUUGGCUUCUACACCUACACUCUCUCCUCUCCCUGCCUCUGUUCUGUUUUUAACUUAAUCAUUCUCCUUCAUCUUUUCUCUCUUCCUGUUGUCGCAAGUCAGCUUUAAUUUUAUAUUUUCAUUUCAGAAGUUUGCAUCUAAGGUUAUUUUGCACUCUGCCUCCACAGGUCAGGUAAGCAAGGGCUAUGAGUGCGCUCGUGGCCCCAGCUCUCGGCUCUUCUAUCUGCUCUGCAGUGCCCUGCAUUGUCAACUGUGCUUGUUCAGGAGAUUGAACUGGGCACAGCUCCAGGAGCUAUGACCAGCAGUAAAUACAGAGUCUUCAAAUAACUUUCUUAAAAUAUCGCUGUGUGAUAAUUAGAGGAAAGCAGAUUAUUGGCAAAUAAAGAAUUGGCUUCAUCCUGCCUUUGCACACCCACUGACUGGCAGGUGCCUGCCUCCCCAGGGUCUGCAGCCUCUGACAGAGAGAGACAUGCUUUGGCUUCUCAUUCCUCUCACUCACACUCCUAACUUUACCCACAAUGAGAACAACCCAUACAAACUCAUUUCUGUCUCUGCUAUAUGUUUGGGCCCAGUGCCCAGAGCCAGCUUUGUCUAGUCUUAAAGUGCUUAUUGACAACUUCAGGAAUACUUGAUGAGGCAUUUUGUCUUGCGGUCUUUGUUUCCUUCUUUUACUUGUUUAAUUAAAUUUGAUAUUAUACUGAAACAAUGUGCUAACACAGUACCCAUCUUUCAUAAUGAUCAAAUGCAGAGAUUAUAUUUAAAGGCCUACAGAGCAGCCCUAAAUCCAACACAGAGCAUGCUGCCAAAAGAAUCUAAAAAAAAAAAAAGCAAGACAGGGAAGAAAAAUGGAUUCUUUUUUCCUUCCCAAUGAAAACAGUCUGUCCCACCUACUCACUUUAAUACUUCCCAAAUGCUUUCUAUCAAGCGCUCCUGAGCAAAGAGAGAAACCAUCCAAGAGCACAGAAGAAAUAAAAAAACAACACACAAAUAUUGUGAAGUAGCCAUCAAAGAUAUUUGUCUAAUAAAACAUUUCAAUAACGUCAAGGUAUGAUCUCUUCCAUGUUGAGUUCUCCAGUCUGUCUCCAUGUUCUCCCCAUUGACCCUUCUCACAAGUGUUAGGAGAAUCAGCAAGGAAUACUGGCAGAGCUGGCUGUGACUUGCAAGGUCAUUGCUAGCAGCUCAGUACAGGGUGCUGCUGGUUAGAUAUUAGGAGGAAGUU